GUUGAGUUAGUCAAGUGGUGUUGGCUUGAGACCUUAAAGUGUGCUCCUCUCAAGGUCUCAGGUUCAAUUCUACUCAAUG
Molecule: transfer RNA, 79 nt
Filed under: Medicago truncatula (barrel medic)
Lineage: Eukaryota; Viridiplantae; Streptophyta; Magnoliopsida; Fabales; Fabaceae
Description: tRNA-OTHER
Source: RNAcentral